AUAUUUUAAAGAAAUAUUCCUCCUUAAUAUCUUCAAUAUUACGCUCUAUAUACAUAAGCUAUUAAAAUA
This 69-nucleotide transfer RNA is filed under the name Plateros sp. UPOL A00047. Its description in RNAcentral is "tRNA-Phe". The record is from RNAcentral. Lineage: Eukaryota; Metazoa; Arthropoda; Insecta; Coleoptera; Lycidae.